UGGGCCGAAGUCGAAGCAGUCGAGACGCCUGGCCGUGACCCAGGAGACAGCGGGUGCGAGUCCCGUCGGUCCAC
Molecule: transfer RNA, 74 nt
Filed under: Sandaracinaceae bacterium
Lineage: Bacteria; Pseudomonadati; Myxococcota; Polyangiales; Sandaracinaceae
Description: tRNA-His
Rfam family: tRNA
About the family: Transfer RNA (tRNA) molecules are approximately 80 nucleotides in length. Their secondary structure includes four short double-helical elements and three loops (D, anti-codon, and T loops). Further hydrogen bonds mediate the characteristic L-shaped molecular structure. tRNAs have two regions of fundamental functional importance: the anti-codon, which is responsible for specific mRNA codon recognition, and the 3' end, to which the tRNAs corresponding amino acid is attached (by aminoacyl-tRNA synthetases). tRNAs cope with the degeneracy of the genetic code in two manners: having more than one tRNA (with a specific anti-codon) for a particular amino acid; and 'wobble' base-pairing, i.e. permitting non-standard base-pairing at the 3rd anti-codon position.
Source: RNAcentral